GCUAAUCUCUGGAAAAUUAUUACAGCGUAUGAUAUAGCAGAGAAUGUAAUACGGUACGCCUUGGAAUUUAUCAACUGACCACAUUUUGUCUUUCGUGGAAAAUAUAAACGAGGAUAGUCGGGAAAAUUAAAAAUGAAAUUAAACGCGUUGUUUUGUACAAACAGAAGCUGAAAAUGAUAACGUUUUAUAUAUAUAUCGUUAUCGAUAUAUCGUUAUAUUCAUGUAAUGAAAUAUAUAAUAAUGCUGCAAAUGUGCAUAUAUUUGAAAAUAUGUAUUAAGACUGGUAUUAAACAAUUACAUGUGUUUUGUUUAAUUAAUUAUUUAUCUUUUAAUCGGUAUAUAUUAAUAUAAGAGUUGAUUAAAUUAGUAAGUUGGACGCGGCGAGAAACUCAAUGUAUACGAUAGAAUGGGUUUUCAGUGUCUGAUUGAACAGUGUGAUUGUUGAUUUUCCAAGUAAACUUUAUAAGUACGCUAUUAUUGAUUUCAGUGACAUGAGAUUCGGGGUGUCCUCGAAAGCAGAUACGUCGAGCAUGACAGACAAAUGGCUCGUUCAAAGGAUCACCGACGUUGCAUUUGUGCAAAACAACUCGAGCGCGUACAGCAGUGCCGCAUCGAGCGCAAUGGCUAAUCACAAUGCAAACAGCCUAUACAUGGCCGAUCUUGUCGAUAAUAACUUAAGUCCGCAAGUAUGUCAGGAGGACGAGUUGUCAAGUUUUUAUUUAAUCGUCGUUUUAAUUUAAAGCAAUGAAACAAUUUAUAUGCAUAUUAAUCAAGUAGACGAAACAUCAUCCACAGGGACUAAAACUUCAACAUAAAAACCCUCCUAAGUUGGCACUCAAGACCUUAUUCUGUUGUAACACUUUGAUCCGUGACUCUGUUGGAUUUAUAUAAUAACAAUUCCAUCGUCUUAUACAUAGUUCAAUUUCUUCACCUUAUUCGCGAAACGUUUGAACGGCGACGCGAGGAGAUCACCGGCGAUCUAUCGGUUUCGUGAUUUCUUGUGUCUCCGACGUGACAUAAUUGGCAAUCCUGUCAGGAUCCAUUCAUCGCAUCAAGAGGAAACUUCAACGAGAACUCUAGGAAUUCUACAGCGACGGACCACGGUCACCUCCUUGAUGAAAAGAAGGAUCUCCAAAGAAUCUCGGUAAGCUGACGUUCGUACAUUAUCGAAACCGUAAACCCGAAAUACGUUCUGAAGAUAGUGAUUCUUCUGAAAACAUCAUAUCUAUCAAGAUGAAUCCAACUGACAUGAGUACGACAAAACAAAACGAAUUAAUCGCUACUAUCCUCGAACAAAACAUUAACAAUAUAAAAGAAUUCACGGAAACUAGUGAUAGAAAUCGGGCCAAGGAAAUACAUGACCUUGCAAAAACAAUAAAAGUGAAGCCACAGAUGAACACUCAUUUAGGAACUGGUGUCGGUAACGAGACAGACGACAAAGACCACGAAUUAGUCACGUCACGAUUAGACAAAGAAACGACUGCGGCAAAGAACAAAGCCUCCAAGCAGAAGAGGCCGUACGUACUAUUGAGACACUACGUGGUCUAGACGAUGUCGGUGUUGAAGAUUUUAUCCUAUCAGUCCGGAAAACAAGAGCCAGGUGCAAGUCAAGUGCUAGAGACUUCCUAUUAGAACUCGUACUUAUUGAAAACAUAACCGAUAACGCGAAAAGGAAUAUACGAUACCUAAAGAUUAACUCGUUUGAUGACCUAUAUUCAUGGUUAAGACUAAACGUGUCAGUACCAACCACUGUUGGCAAUUGCAGGUGAGGUGGAUAGGUCGUGAUAGGUGCGGCUGCCUAGUGUGUAGAUGUCGCUGCUGGUGUACUGCUGCUUCUCUUCUCAUGUUUGUAUCGUGGAAGAAAAAUCGGACUACCGACUGCGGUCGGAUUUGAACCUAAUCUGGAACGUUCGUAACCAACGGCGCUAACCCACUGCUCUGUUAUCGUCCGGUCAAGGAUAGGGUCUUUGCGUCGCAAGCCACGGGCCAUAAAUCGUUGGAAUUUUUUGGUGGUACGUACGAGGUACAGGAGCUUCGGUACUCCCAUCGAUAUUUUAUUAAUGCGAGUCGCUCAGGUGGUGGUCUCAAGAAUGAUCACUUCAAGAAAGAACACUCAGGAAUAACAAAAGACUACUGCCAAAAGAUAUUCUUCAUUGCGUACUAAGUAAAGGGCAGAUGGUAUGCAAAGAAGAUGAUAAUGGGAUUGUCGUAUUCAAAUAGAGAGAUCCACGGGAUUAUGCACGGCAGUGAAGAAUGAAAAUUGUUGCCCAGUUGAAGUCAUGUUUUUAGUCUUAUUAAACUGCAGAAAAAGUGGAUUAUACAAUGUGUAAGAUAACUUAUGAUAUCGCUGGCUCAAACAAAUUUAGGAAUGUCUACUUCCUGUUUGAUGUUUACAGGUAAUUCUUCAUUUUAUGUAUUCCAUUCUUUUAUACAGUUUAAGCAAAAGAUUGUCGAGCUGCUUCUAGUCGGACAACAAUUUUCGUUAAAACUUUUUAGAUUUUAUUUCUCUUAAUUAUUCUUACAAUUUGGUGAUCAAUGCCUAAAGUCUAAGGCGAUGUGAGGAAAUUCAACAAUGCAAAGCAUUGAGAUUUGUAUAAUUUUGUGUGCUAGACUAUGUUAGGUGCGUAGUAGUGAUACUUGUAUGUGAAUAUCAGUAUGUGGAAGUAUGCGUGUGCGCGACGUCUCGAAAACCAAUGAAUGUAAACUGUUCAGUCGGUUAACAGUCGGGUAUGGAAGAAAGUGCUGAGACGCGUGCGUUCAUGUACAAUUAUUUCGGCUAUUAAGAUGCAAAAUUUUCACCACAAAGUUAUAAACAAAAACCAAACGUUAUAACGAUACGUAAACAAUUUUUGACACGCAUAUACCGAAAGCAUGGAACCGCAAUGGUCCGAAACUUGAGUCGCGAUAAAGCAACAUGGAAGACAAGAAGGGCAUUGUCGUUCUACGUAUGCGUGACACGAGUACAUUAUUCGUUUCCGCCUGCCUGGUAAGAAAGUGGGCAAAACUGUAAAACCGUUUCAUGUUCUCUGAUCUCGAUAAUUUCUGAAGAUCAACAUUUCAAAGAAUCUUUUUCUUCCUGUGUAAACUGUAGAUCGGCCAUAAUUCCCGAGAAAUUCGCAAAAAGCCAUCGGUAUAAUUACUGUGUUCUUUCGCUAAUAAUUGUGCUUCUAUGGCAACGCACGCGUCAGAUAUUGGCUGCCAGCUGUCACGGAAUCUAUCACUUACCCUCUCUUUGUCACGACGAACGAGGCUGGCACGAGCUUGGGUAAACCUCCAUAUACAACUGCAUAUGAGAUACUCUAAGAAAUGUCUUUUAUUAUAAUUCAAUCGGAAGGGAAUGUCGUCAAUAUAUUUUAUUUGGGUUUAGAUUAGUUAUUUCAUUCCAGCCAGCGCGAGAC
Long non-coding RNA from Bombus pyrosoma, 3398 nucleotides. RefSeq lists it as uncharacterized. The record is from RefSeq and is a predicted model, not a curated record. Lineage: Eukaryota; Metazoa; Arthropoda; Insecta; Hymenoptera; Apidae. The transcript has 4 exons.